Molecule: non-coding RNA, 73 nt
Organism: Trichonephila clavipes
Lineage: Eukaryota; Metazoa; Arthropoda; Arachnida; Araneae; Nephilidae
Source: the annotation of a GenBank genome assembly
GUCCCUGUAGUGCAUUGGACCGCGUGUUGGACUUUUAAUCCAAAGGUUGUGGGUUCGAAUUCCACUUGGGAUG